AUGAACAACGUACAAAACGAUUAUAAUGCUAUGCUCAAAGUGUAUAUAAGCCAUUUUCGCAUGGCUAUCCAAAUUUAUACAAAACCAAAGGGUACAUGACCAACAACAAAAAGGGUAGUCCUAUACAUGCCAUUUUCAGAGUUCAACCAAAAGUGUACCAAAAGGGCUUUGAUAGUGUGGACGACUUCGACUUCGACAAUCCCGAAUCCGAUAGCUGACGAACCAAAAUCUAUAAAACAGA
Molecule: long non-coding RNA, 241 nt
Filed under: Gossypium barbadense (sea-island cotton)
Lineage: Eukaryota; Viridiplantae; Streptophyta; Magnoliopsida; Malvales; Malvaceae
Description: long non-coding RNA (GBAR_LNC002319)
Source: RNAcentral